This 742-nucleotide unclassified non-coding RNA is filed under the name Hevea brasiliensis (rubber tree). The record is from RNAcentral. Lineage: Eukaryota; Viridiplantae; Streptophyta; Magnoliopsida; Malpighiales; Euphorbiaceae.
CUCUUUUGCAAACUAGUACCAAAGUUGUCUCUUUCAAUCAUGGCCUCCAAAUCCACGCUCAUUUAGUAAAAUCCGGUCUUGAGACUGAUAGAUUUGUUGGCAAUAGCUUACUUGCACUGUAUUUCAAGUUGGGGCCUAAUUUCUUGGAGACGAGAAGAGUUUUCGAUGGCCUUUAUUUUAGAGAUGUAAUUUCUUGGACUUCAAUGAUAACGGGUUAUAUUAGCGUAGAAAAACCCAAGAACGCGCUUGAAUUGUUUUGGGAAAUGUUGGGUUUUGGGGUUCAGCCAAAUGCCUUCACAUUAUCUGCUGUGAUAAAGGCUUGUUCAGAUCUUGGGGACUUGAGGCUUGGUAAAUGCUUUCAUGGGGUGGUUAUGAUUCGUGGGUUUGACUCCAAUCAUGUUAUUGCCAGUGCUUUGAUUGAUAUGUAUGGGCGGAACUAUGGGCUAGAUGAUGCACGCAGGUUGUUUGAUGAGUUGCUUGAACCAGACGCUAUUUGCUGGACAUCUGUCAUUUCUGCGUUCACAAGAAACGAUAUGUAUGAUAAAGCUUUGGGAUUCUUUUUUUUGAUGCAAAGGAAACUUGGAUUAGCACCAGAUGGAUUCACUUUUGGGACGGUGUUGACUGCUUGUGGUAAUUUAGGGAGGCUAAAGCAAGGUAAAGAAGUGCAUGCUAAGGUCAUUACAUCUGGAUUUAGUGGAAAUGUGGUUGUUGAGAGUAGUCUUGUUGAUAUGUAUGGGAAAUG